AGCAAACCCGCUGAAUUUAAGCAUAUAAGUAAGCGGAGGAUAAGAAACUAAAUAGGAUUCCCUCAGUAAUGGCGAAUGAACAGGGAUAAGCUCAGCAUGGAAAUUGGGGCCCUCGGCCUUGAAUUGUAGUCUUGAGAUGUGUUACCAACGGAGGCGCAGAUGUAAGCCUCUUGGAAAAGAGCGUCAGGGAGGGUGAGAGUCCCGUAUGUCAUCUGCAGUUCUCUGUGCACGGUGCAUGUUCUAAGAGUCACGUUCCUCGGGAUUGGAGCGCAAAUUGGGUGGUAAAUUUCAUCUAAAGCUAAAUAUUGGUUCGAGACCGAUAGCAAACAAGUACCAUGAGGGAAAGGUGAAAAGGACUUUGAAAAGAGAGUUAAAAGUGCCUGAAAUUGCUGAAAGGGAAGCGAAUGGAACCAGUUGUUCUUGGUGAGUAUUGGUGUUGUCUAAAGUGAUGGCUUGCCACUUCAACGCAAGUGUGGUGGCAGGUUUUGAUCUGGAUGCGAUACUGCUUCUCGCCUUGCAUGUCAACGUCAGUUCAUAAUUGAGGAAAACUCUAAGGACAUGGUAAUUCGCUUCCGAGUGACUGAAUGUCCUCAGUUGAACUCAUUUUUGAACUGCUCUCUGUGUGUGCUGGUAGCACUGCUUCAUGUGCUUGCCUGCGAUCUUCUGCUCUGCAUGAAGGUUGUUGGUGCCAGGAGCAUGUCCUUGACAUUAGAACGAUGACGAAAUGGUUUUAUUCGACCCGUCUU
RNAcentral lists this ribosomal RNA (746 nucleotides) under Karenia mikimotoi. RNAcentral's name for it is "partial 24S large subunit ribosomal RNA". It matches the Rfam family "Eukaryotic large subunit ribosomal RNA", at positions 18 to 655 of the family's 3401-position model. Lineage: Eukaryota; Dinophyceae; Gymnodiniales; Kareniaceae. The record is from RNAcentral.